GACGAACGCUGGCGGCGUGCUUAACACAUGCAAGUCGAACGGAAAGGCCCUGCUUUUGUGGGGUGCUCGAGUGGCGAACGGGUGAGUAACACGUGAGUAACCUGCCCUUGACUUUGGGAUAACUUCAGGAAACUGGGGCUAAUACCGGAUAGGAGCUCCUGCUGCAUGGUGGGGGUUGGAAAGUUUCGGCGGUUGGGGAUGGCCUCGCGGCUUAUCAGCUUGUUGGUGGGGUAGUGGCUUACCAAGGCUUUGACGGGUAGCCGGCCUGAGAGGGUGACCGGCCACAUUGGGACUGAGAUACGGCCCAGACUCCUACGGGAGGCAACAGUGGGGAAUAUUGCACAGUGGGCGGAAGCCUGAUGCAGCAACGCCGCGUGCGGGAUGACGGCCUUCGGGUUGUAAACCGCUUUCGCCUGUGACGACGCGUGAGUGACGGUAAUGGGUAAUGGAGCACCGGCUAUCUACGU
Molecule: ribosomal RNA, 467 nt
Filed under: uncultured bacterium
Lineage: Bacteria
Description: partial 16S ribosomal RNA
Rfam family: Bacterial small subunit ribosomal RNA
Source: RNAcentral